RNAcentral lists this ribosomal RNA (119 nucleotides) under Sphaeramia orbicularis (orbiculate cardinalfish). The record is from RNAcentral. Lineage: Eukaryota; Metazoa; Chordata; Actinopteri; Kurtiformes; Apogonidae.
ACUUACGUCCAUACCACCCUGAACAUGCCCAAUCUCGUCUAAACUUGGCAGCAAACCAGGGUUGGGCCUAGUCAGUCCUUGGAUGGGAGGCAGCCUGGGAAUACCAGGUGCUGUAAGCC